This 429-nucleotide ribosomal RNA is filed under the name Bacteroidota bacterium. Its description in RNAcentral is "Bacteroidetes bacterium partial 16S ribosomal RNA". It matches the Rfam family "Bacterial small subunit ribosomal RNA", at positions 355 to 776 of the family's 1533-position model. The record is from RNAcentral. Lineage: Bacteria; Pseudomonadati; Bacteroidota.
UAGGGAAUCUUCGGCAAUGGGGGGAACCCUGACCGAGCAACGCCGCGUGAGUGAAGAAGGUUUUCGGAUCGUAUAGCUCUGUUGUUAAGGAAGAACGAGCGUGAGAAUGGAAAGUUCAUACUGUGACGGUACUUAACCAGAAAGGGACGGCUAACUACGUGCCAGCAGCCGCGGUAAUACGUAGGUCCCGAGCGUUGUCUGGAUUUAUUGGGCGUAAAGCGAGCGCAGGCGGUUAGAUAAGUCUGAAGUUAAAGGCAGUGGCUCAACCAUUGUAGGCUUUGGAAACUGUUUAACUUGAGUGCAGAAGGGGAGAGUGGAAUUCCAUGUGUAGCAGUGAUAUGCGUAGAUAUAUGGAGAAACACCGGUGGCGAAAGCGGCUCUCUGGUCUGUAACUGACGCUGAGGCUCGAAAGCGUGGGGAGCGAACAGG